UGACUAUGGCCCCCCUCCUGUGUGACUGUGUCCCCCACUCCUGUGGGACUAUGGCCCCCCUCCUGUGUGACUGUUACCCAUUCCUGCGUGACUGUGUCCCCCCCCUGUGUGACUUUGUCCUCCGCCCCUCCUGUGUGACUGUGUCCCCGACUCCUGUGUGACUGUGUCCCCGACUCCUGUGUGACUGUGUGUCCCCCACUCCUAUGUGACACUGUGUCCCCCAUUCCUGUGUGACUAUGGCCCCCCUCCUGUGUGACUAUGGCCCCCCUCCUGUGUGACUGUGUCCCCCACUCCUGUGGGACUAUGGCCCCCCUCCUGUGUGACUGUCACCCAUUCCUGCGUGAUUGUGUCCCCCCCCCUGUGUGACUGUGUUCUCCGCCCCUCCUGUGUGACUGUGUCCUCCCCCCCUCCUGUGUGACUGUGUCCCCGACUCCUGUGUGACUGUGUCCCCGACUCCUGUGUGACUGUGUGUCCCCCACUCCUGUGUGACACUGUGUCCCCCAUUCCUGUGUGACUAUGGGCCCCCUCCUGUGUGACUAUGGCCCCCCUCCUGCGUGACUGUGUCCCCCACUCCUGUGUGACACUGUGUCCCCCAUUCCUGUGUGACUAUGGCCCCCCUCCUGUGUGACUGUCACCCAUUCCUGCGUGACUGUGUCCCCCCCACUCCUGUGUGACUGUGUCCCCCCCUCCUGUGUGAAUGUGUGCCCCCUGCAGUGUGUCCAUGUACCCAACACUUGUGUGCAUGACCAUCUCCCCUCCUGUGUGUCAGUUGUGUGUGUCUCCUAUAGUGUGUGUGUUAAUUGUGCGUGCCCCCUCCUGUUUGUGUGUUAGUGGUGUGUGAGAAGAGUGUGCCACUGUGGAGAUCACCUGCAAUUAAAUUUGCCAGCCAGACCCUGGAAGUGUGACAGCUUGAACACGGAAUGAGGAACCACCCAGAGCUGCAUAAGGCAUUUGACUACAGCACCCAACAGAUACUGCUGCCUUGUAUUUCUAUAGCCCAGCUUUUAAAUGUAUAGAAGGAAUGCAAAACCUACGAAAUUAAAGGGUUCUUUGUUUAUCAUAAGGACACCAGUCUAGCCAACUCUGUAAUGGAAAACUGUAUGAAAACACAAAAAUGUGAACAGAAGCUAUGAAGAUGACAAGACAGUGACAGGAAUGGCGGAACUUGAGAGGGCCUGUCCUAGGAAGGAGACUGGGAGCAAUGAAAGUACAACUAGAAAUCUCUUUUGGGUCAUCAUCUGAUACAUCAUCAUUGCCUAUAUCCGGACCAGAACUGGACAUUAAUUGGUGCAGAAAAAUCGUGGUGAUUAAAGUCUUCGAAAUCCAUCAGCUUAUCACCUCCAGGAGGAGGACACCGUAAUCUAAUGAGGAACCCGCAAUUGGACAUUUGAAUUACAUCAAAGAUAUCCAAGGGACUUCACCUCUAACGGGUUUGGUAAAGUUGGUUGGUCAGACUGCGCAGUCAGUCUAUUUCCAUCUAAUUCACCCAUCUGCAUAUCCAGUUUAUUCUAUAGGAACGGACUUUACACUACAGGCAAUUAAUUUUGAGACCCUCAUUAUUUUAAUUCAUUUGUUUUAUGAGCUUGGUAUAUUUGUUCUUAAUUACGGCCUAAAUUGCCAUUAUAUUAAAUGUGAAGUUUUUAUCACUCAAUCCUUCAUGUGUUACUAUUAUAUUAGCGCUGCUACUGUUCGUUUUUCUUUCUUUGUUAUUUGUUGGGUGUGACUACCCCAUUAGGUGUAGCAGCAGCAUUAGAGGUGCAGCACCGUUAGCGCCCGAUCUUUUACCUGUUGGUAAAAUCUAUUCAUACAACUUCAGAAUUGUCUGCUUGAUGGAUUGGUAUCUACCUGUAUGCUUUGAUGUAAAAUUUCAAUAAAAAAAAUCUAAAAAAAAUAAAAUGCUACACUUCUGUCCAUAUUCAGUAAGUAUUGCAAAUUCUGCUAAGUAGCAGAAUUUGCAAUCCUUGUGUUAGCAUGCUGGGGGGCGCCCAUCGCAGGGCAAGGCCGACCAACAUGCAGCCCCCCCCCCC
This is a long non-coding RNA of Pseudophryne corroboree (corroboree frog), 2027 nucleotides long. RefSeq lists it as uncharacterized. NCBI's taxonomy places the organism in Eukaryota, Metazoa, Chordata, Amphibia, Anura, Myobatrachidae. The transcript is spliced from 5 exons. The record is from RefSeq and is a predicted model, not a curated record.